AAUCGAGAGCGUCUUCAUUGACCUCUCACCCUUCACAUCCACAUACACCUGUGCACCGUUUGGCUCUUAUAAAAGACGCAAGUCUGUAAUGAGAGUCAUCAAUUUUAUACAUACCCCAGUCUUAUGAAUGUAACAGUUUUAAUAAACAUAAUAAAACUUUUAACAACGGAUCUCUUGGUUCUCGCAUCG
Molecule: unclassified non-coding RNA, 189 nt
Filed under: uncultured Mrakia
Lineage: Eukaryota; Fungi; Basidiomycota; Tremellomycetes; Cystofilobasidiales; Cystofilobasidiaceae
Description: sequence contains ITS1
Source: RNAcentral